RNAcentral lists this transfer RNA (73 nucleotides) under Desertifilum sp. RNAcentral's name for it is "tRNA-Lys". It matches the Rfam family "tRNA". Rfam says of the family: Transfer RNA (tRNA) molecules are approximately 80 nucleotides in length. Their secondary structure includes four short double-helical elements and three loops (D, anti-codon, and T loops). Lineage: Bacteria; Bacillati; Cyanobacteriota; Cyanophyceae; Desertifilales; Desertifilaceae. The record is from RNAcentral.
UAGCAGUAGUUUCGCUGUUUGUGGCAGAAGACUCUUAAUCUUUUGGUUCAGGGUUCGAGUCCCUGGUUACCCA